This is a non-coding RNA of Carlito syrichta (Philippine tarsier), 531 nucleotides long. Lineage: Eukaryota; Metazoa; Chordata; Mammalia; Primates; Tarsiidae. The record is from the annotation of a RefSeq genome assembly.
GCUGUCCCACCUGCUCGGGCCUUACAGAGCUUCCGCUGCUCGGCCAUGCUCCUGCUGCUCGUCCUGGUGCUUGAGGUGAUGUUUGCCCUUGGAGGAACUGGAGCCCACUCCGUGACCCAGCCCGAUGGCCACAUCACUGUCUCUGAAGGAGCCCCUCUAGAGCUGAGGUGCAACUAUUCAUUUUCUUAUUCGUCGUAUCUCUUCUGGUAUGUGCAAUACCACAACCAAGGAUUCGAGCUUCUGCUGAAGUAUGUUCCAGGGAACACCCCGGUUAAAGGCAUCAAAGGUUUUGAGGCAGAAUUUAAGAAGAGUGAAUCCUCCUUCCACCUGAAAAAAUCCUCAGCCCAUUUGAGAGAUUCGGCUGAGUACUUCUGUGCCACCAGUGACACAGUGCCUGAGUCCGCAAGGGGAGGCGUUCACAAACCCCCUGAGAUGCUGGGAUCUUCUGUGACUCAACAACUGAACCUGGAGAGUUUUCAAGAAUGUGCCUUUUUUUUGGUGCCUCCUUUGAAGACAAAUAGGGCAGAGUAG